This 253-nucleotide ribosomal RNA is filed under the name uncultured bacterium. RNAcentral describes it as "partial 16S ribosomal RNA". It matches the Rfam family "Bacterial small subunit ribosomal RNA", at positions 524 to 776 of the family's 1533-position model. The record is from RNAcentral.
UACGUAGGGGGCUAGCGUUGUCCGGAAUCAUUGGGCGUAAAGAGCGCGUAGGCGGCUGGAAUAGUCCGGUGUGAAAGUCACAGGCUUAACCUGUGAAUGCCGCUGGAAACUGUCUGGCUAGAGUCCGGAAGGGGCGAGUGGAAUUCCUGGUGUAGCGGUGAAAUGCGCAGAUAUCAGGAGGAACACCAAUGGCGAAGGCAGCUCGCUAGGACGGUACUGACGCUGAGGCGCGAAAGCGUGGGGAGCAAACAGG